This 83-nucleotide microRNA precursor is filed under the name Bombyx mori (domestic silkworm). RNAcentral describes it as "mir-2807 microRNA precursor family". It matches the Rfam family "mir-2807 microRNA precursor family". The record is from Rfam by way of RNAcentral. Lineage: Eukaryota; Metazoa; Arthropoda; Insecta; Lepidoptera; Bombycidae.
UUAACUCAAUUUUGUAGGGAGUUGGAAGUUUGCGUACGUUUGCCGCUAGGGGCGCUGUUCCAACUGCAUACAAAUCUGAGUUA